CAAACCCAGACCCCAGGCCCUGGAAACAGAGGAGGGGCAGGUAAGCAACCAGAGGCAGGAAAGGAAAAAUGGGAAGGUUUUCUCAGAGUUAACUUUCUCUAACCUUGAAGCCGAAUCCAGGGGCAGGAGCAGGAGUCAACUCUGAGAAGACGUGAUAGAGCUUCAGCAACAUGGAGAGGAGAUAGCCGGUCUGGCUAGGAUGGAAGAAAUGUACAUGGAGAAGAAAGACAGAAGAACCAUCACUGAGCACUAAACUAAUCAGCCAUAAUGUGCAGAUUGACUGGCAAGCCUAUCACCACCUUGAUAACAGAUGACAUUAAAGAGAAAGUAUCAAUGUGAGGAUUAAAUGGGAUGAAAAAUAAAACAUCUGUCGGAGUGCCUGGAAUAUGGUACACAAAUAUCCAAGAUUGGAAAGAAGAAAGAAAAUGACGACAGAAUUUUGCAGUCUACAAGGCAAACACUGCCAUUCAUGUAGUUAUGGAGUUCCUACUAUGUGCAGACAAUGGGAAACUUUACGAAGUGGAUGGAGCAGCAUCAGCCAUGGCUCAGGAAUGCAGCCGCCUACUUUCCUGUUAUCAGCAGGCAUUCCUGUGGUUACACUAUUCCUGCUUAGCUUAUCAAUGGCCCUUGGGAACACAGAGUCAGCACCCAAAGAGGGCCAGAACAGCCUGCUUGUUGGACGCCCAUCCACACCAUGAGGCUUUCCUGGAUGUAGAGGGAAGUUACUGUUCCUCGGGAAAACCCCUCUUCCCAGCUGGGUUUUAAAAAGCAGCAGGUUUAAGAGCUGACCAUAUCUGAAAGACUCUAGAAUAGCAGAGGAUUGAUUAAAGGUCUGUGGCCACAGAUUGGAU
This 851-nucleotide long non-coding RNA is filed under the name Homo sapiens (human). Its description in RNAcentral is "HSALNT0322853". Lineage: Eukaryota; Metazoa; Chordata; Mammalia; Primates; Hominidae. The record is from RNAcentral.